Molecule: long non-coding RNA, 549 nt
Filed under: Malus domestica (apple)
Lineage: Eukaryota; Viridiplantae; Streptophyta; Magnoliopsida; Rosales; Rosaceae
Description: long non-coding RNA (MDOM_LNC012118)
Source: RNAcentral
CCUUUCAGAAUUAACUCUGUCAUUCUCUUACAGCCCACCAAUAAGCAGAAGCCCGACAUACGAUAUCAACCGGCGCCAACCUCCCGGGGAGCUGUGUGCUCGUUGGCCAGGAAACGUCCCCAUUGGAUAUUCCUCAAGACGAACAUAGUUUUGGCACGCCCAUUGGGACUCACUUUUUCAAUCUCGCAUGUCAAUGAAGAAAAGCCAUAAACCUUGCAGAAAGAGUACAAAGUACGAAUCAUCUCAACCUUCGCUACAAAUGACAGAGCAAUCAGGAAAUCGUUCUUCUCCAUCAGGACAAGUGGACCUGGAAAGCUGAUAGGAGCAUAUUUAUGCAACUUAGUUAGCUUGUUUCUUGGCAUUUACUUAGUUUAAUUCUAGUUAGUUUAGUACUUUAAGCUAUUUUCGUGUGUUUGUAAGUUCAAAUAACAAAGUUAGCAACAAAGUGCUAUUUGGAGCAUUUUGGAGCAUUUUUGGGCCAAGAUUGGAUAGUGCAAGCAUGGAGACAUAAGGAUGGACGUUUUUGAAGAUUUGAAGGCUAUAAAUCAG